RNAcentral lists this ribosomal RNA (167 nucleotides) under uncultured bacterium. Its description in RNAcentral is "partial 16S rRNA". It matches the Rfam family "Bacterial small subunit ribosomal RNA", at positions 355 to 514 of the family's 1533-position model. The record is from RNAcentral.
UAGGGAAUCUUCCACAAUGGGCGAAAGCCUGAUGGAGCAACGCCGCGUGUGUGAUGAAGGGUUCCGGCUCGUAAAACACUGUUGUAAGAGAAGAAUGACAUUGAGAGUAACUGUUCAAUGUGUGACGGUAUCUUACCAGAAAGGAACGGCUAAAUACGUGCCAGCAG